This is a ribosomal RNA of Pseudogymnoascus pannorum, 120 nucleotides long. The record is from Rfam. NCBI's taxonomy places the organism in Eukaryota, Fungi, Ascomycota, Leotiomycetes, Thelebolales, Thelebolaceae.
ACAUACGACCAUAGACUCAAGAAAAUUGGGCAUCCCGUCCGCUCUGCCAUACACAAGCUUGAGAUCGGUGGAUUAGUAGUUGGGUGGGUGACCACCAGCGAAUACCCACUGUUGUAUGUU